GACACACAUGGACCACCCGAAGCCGGGCUCGCCGGGGGCCCUCACAGCCCCGUGGCGGCCAGAAUCAGGGAAGCCGCGCCGGGCGUCGAGCUCCUCCCGUAGCCGUCGAGAUGGCUCAGAAGCCACUCGGUCUUCUGGGACCUGGCAUUCUAGCGGUGGAGACAGAUUUUAAAGGACCUGAGCAUCUUCUGGGAGAGCCCCAGCGAUCAAGCCCGCUGACUGGAGGAGCCACCAAAGGGAUUCCCUCAUUAGAAGAGUCUCCACGUUCUGCUUAAUGGAGAGCGAGCAGCACUUUGGUGGAGGUGGAGCAGCCAGGGGGCCAGGGUCCAAGGAGACCCCGAGGUGAGGGCCUCUGUCCAGCCUUGGGUCCACCAGGUAUUCCAAAUAAACACAGAGCUCGAGUGAGAGGAGGGUGCUCACCA
This is a non-coding RNA of Oryctolagus cuniculus (rabbit), 422 nucleotides long. The record is from RefSeq and is a predicted model, not a curated record. NCBI's taxonomy places the organism in Eukaryota, Metazoa, Chordata, Mammalia, Lagomorpha, Leporidae.